GACGAACGCUGGCGGCGUGCUUAACACAUGCAAGUCGAACGGAAAGGCCCUGCUUUUGUGGGGUGCUCGAGUGGCGAACGGGUGAGUAACACGUGAGUAACCUGCCCUUGACUUUGGGAUAACUUCAGGAAACUGGGGCUAAUACCGGAUAGGAGCUCCUGCUGCAUGGUGGGGGUUGGAAAGUUUCGGCGGUUGGGGAUGGACUCGCGGCUUAUCAGCUUGUUGGUGGGGUAGUGGCUUACCAAGGCUUUGACGGGUAGCCGGCCUGAGAGGGUGACCGGCCAAAUUGGGACUGAGAUACGGCCCAGACUCCUACGGGAGGCAGCAGUGGGGAAUAUUGCACAAUGGUCGGAAGCCUGAUGCAGCAACGCCGCGUGCGGGAUGACGGCCUUCGGGUUGUAAACCGCUUUCGCCUGUGACGAAGCGUGAGUGACGGUAAUGGGUAAAGAAGCACCGGCUAACUACGUG
RNAcentral lists this ribosomal RNA (468 nucleotides) under uncultured bacterium. RNAcentral describes it as "partial 16S ribosomal RNA". It matches the Rfam family "Bacterial small subunit ribosomal RNA", at positions 28 to 507 of the family's 1533-position model. The record is from RNAcentral.